CCUACGGGGGGCUGCAGUGGGGAAUAUUGGACAAUGGGGGGAACCCUGAUCCAGCCAUGCCGCGUGUGUGAAGAAGGCCCUCGGGUUGUAAAGCACUUUCAGUGAGGAAGAACGCCUGGUGGUUAAUACCCAUCAGGAAAGACAUCACUCACAGAAGAAGCACCGGCUAACUCCGUGCCAGCAGCCGCGGUAAUACGGAGGGUGCGAGCGUUAAUCGGAAUUACUGGGCGUAAAGCGCGCGUAGGUGGCUUGAUAAGCCGGUUGUGAAAGCCCCGGGCUCAACCUGGGAACGGCAUCCGGAACUGUCAAGCUAGAGUGCAGGAGAGGAAGGUAGAAUUCCCGGUGUAGCGGUGAAAUGCGUAGAGAUCGGGAGGAAUACCAGUGGCGAAGGCGGCCUUCUGGACUGACACUGACACUGAGGUGCGCAAGCGUGGGUAGCCAACAGGAUUAGAUACCCCGGUAGUC
Molecule: ribosomal RNA, 465 nt
Filed under: Vreelandella stevensii
Lineage: Bacteria; Pseudomonadati; Pseudomonadota; Gammaproteobacteria; Oceanospirillales; Halomonadaceae
Description: partial 16S ribosomal RNA
Rfam family: Bacterial small subunit ribosomal RNA
Source: RNAcentral